Molecule: ribosomal RNA, 253 nt
Filed under: uncultured Prevotellaceae bacterium
Lineage: Bacteria; Pseudomonadati; Bacteroidota; Bacteroidia; Bacteroidales; Prevotellaceae
Description: partial 16S ribosomal RNA
Rfam family: Bacterial small subunit ribosomal RNA
Source: RNAcentral
UACGUAGGGGGCAAGCGUUAUCCGGAUUUACUGGGUGUAAAGGGAGCGUAGGCCGGCUUUUAAGUCAGCUGUGAAAGUCCGCGGCUCAACCGUGGAAUUGCAGUUGAAACUGGAGGCCUUGAGUGCACACAGGGGUGCCGGAAUUCAUGGUGUAGCGGUGAAAUGCAUAGAUAUCACGCAGAACCCCGAUUGCGAAGGCAGCAUACCGGUGCACAACUGACGCUCAGGCACGAAAGCGUGGGUAUCGAACAGG